AUGGGCGCGCACCAGGCCCAGCUCGCGCGCUGGCUGCAGCUCCUCGCUGCCAAGGGCGUCCAGGAGCUUGUGCUCGUCAACCGCCCGUGGCCGUUUGAUGUGCCCCUCCCGGACACGCUCUUCGGCAUCAGCACGCUCGUUCGCCUCUACAUCGGCCUCUGGAAGCUCCCAGACACAGCCGGCCUCCGCGGCGCCUGCUUCCCCAACCUCCGGGAGCUCGGCAUCUGCACCGUCGUGAUGGAGCAGGGGGACGUCGAAUCCAUCGUCGCCAGCAGUCCUGUACUGGAGAUCCUGAACGUCCAGGGAAGCCACAGGGGGCUCCGCCUACGCCUCGUCAGCCAGAGCCUACGCUGCGUGCAAGUCUGCAGCUCAGUUGUGGAGAGCAUCAUGGUGGUGAAGGCUCCAUGCCUCGAGCGGCUCGUCCUAGAGGGAUGUCGGCACACGGCUGCUGGCCUAUCUACUAGGGUCAGCAUUGUUGAUGCCCCAAAGUUGCAUUCGCUUGGAUCAUUGGAGCCUGGAAAUCAUGUGUUGGAGAUCAGAGGCACUAUCAUAACGGCUGGGGUUAAGGUGAGCAGAAGCAGCAUUCUCACAAGCAUCAGGACCCUCAGCUUACAUGUGCGUUUCGCGGUCCCCAAUGAGGCAAAUAUGGUUUCAACAUAUCUCCAAUUCUGUCCAAAUGUCGUGCGACUGCAUAUCACGUCCAGAAAAUGUAAUCAGCACACUGGUAAUCUCAGGCUCAAUUGCAAGGUGGGUCCCACUGAUAGUGCCAUGUCGCGCAUCAAAGUAAUGUAUUUCCGUGAAUUCCGAGGGGAACAAAGCGAGAUUGCCUUCCUCAAGCUCUUCUAUAAGAGCGCGAAGAUGCUGGAGGCUGCUGUGGUAAUUAUGGCGAACCCAAGCUUCACACCGUUUCGGGCAGAUGUGGCGUUUUCCAGAGCGUGGCAAGCGUCUAAGGUCAGUAGGUGCCAAGCCAGCAUGGUUCUUGAGGGCACAGGUCCUGAAGGUGGCAAGGCGUGGAGUUUCAAAAAUGCAAGUUAUUUUCCAUCCGAGGAAAUUCUCCCAACGAAAGUCAUCAACCUAGGGCAGUAG
This 1086-nucleotide ribosomal RNA is filed under the name Triticum aestivum (bread wheat). Its description in RNAcentral is "partial small subunit ribosomal RNA". The record is from RNAcentral. Lineage: Eukaryota; Viridiplantae; Streptophyta; Magnoliopsida; Poales; Poaceae.